GAUGAACGCUGGCGGCGUGCCUAAUACAUGCAAGUCGAGCGAACGGACGAGAAGCUUGCUUCUCUGAUGUUAGCGGCGGACGGGUGAGUAACACGUGGAUAACCUACCUAUAAGACUGGGAUAACUUCGGGAAACCGGAGCUAAUACCGGAUAAUAUUUUGAACCGCAUGGUUCAAAAGUGAAAGACGGUCUUGCUGUCACUUAUAGAUGGAUCCGCGCUGCAUUAGCUAGUUGGUAAGGUAACGGCUUACCAAGGCAACGAUGCAUAGCCGACCUGAGAGGGUGAUCGGCCACAUUGGAACUGAGACACGGUCCAGACUCCUACGGGAGGCAGCAGUAGGGAAUCUUCCGCAAAGGGCGAAAGCCUGACGGAGCAACGCCGCGUGAGUGAUGAAGGUCUUCGGAUCGUAAAACUCUGUUAUUAGGGAAGAACAUAUGUGUAAGUAACUGUGCACAUCUUGACGGUACCUAAUCAGAAAGCCACGGCUAACUACGUG
This 497-nucleotide ribosomal RNA is filed under the name uncultured bacterium. RNAcentral's name for it is "partial 16S ribosomal RNA". It matches the Rfam family "Bacterial small subunit ribosomal RNA", at positions 28 to 507 of the family's 1533-position model. The record is from RNAcentral.